Molecule: transfer RNA, 73 nt
Filed under: Luteolibacter yonseiensis
Lineage: Bacteria; Pseudomonadati; Verrucomicrobiota; Verrucomicrobiia; Verrucomicrobiales; Verrucomicrobiaceae
Also listed under: 16 other names
Rfam family: tRNA
About the family: Transfer RNA (tRNA) molecules are approximately 80 nucleotides in length.
Source: Rfam by way of RNAcentral
GGGGCAUUAGCUCAGUUGGUAGAGCGCUUCGUUCGCAAUGAAGAGGUCAGGAGUUCGAAUCUCCUAUGCUCCA